This 1446-nucleotide ribosomal RNA is filed under the name Vibrio alginolyticus. RNAcentral's name for it is "bacterial SSU rRNA". It matches the Rfam family "Bacterial small subunit ribosomal RNA". The record is from RNAcentral. Lineage: Bacteria; Pseudomonadati; Pseudomonadota; Gammaproteobacteria; Vibrionales; Vibrionaceae.
UGAUCAUGGCUCAGAUUGAACGCUGGCGGCAGGCCUAACACAUGCAAGUCGAGCGGAAACGAGUUAUCUGAACCUUCGGGGAACGAUAACGGCGUCGAGCGGCGGACGGGUGAGUAAUGCCUAGGAAAUUGCCCUGAUGUGGGGGAUAACCAUUGGAAACGAUGGCUAAUACCGCAUGAUGCCUACGGGCCAAAGAGGGGGACCUUCGGGCCUCUCGCGUCAGGAUAUGCCUAGGUGGGAUUAGCUAGUUGGUGAGGUAAGGGCUCACCAAGGCGACGAUCCCUAGCUGGUCUGAGAGGAUGAUCAGCCACACUGGAACUGAGACACGGUCCAGACUCCUACGGGAGGCAGCAGUGGGGAAUAUUGCACAAUGGGCGCAAGCCUGAUGCAGCCAUGCCGCGUGUGUGAAGAAGGCCUUCGGGUUGUAAAGCACUUUCAGUCGUGAGGAAGGUAGUGUAGUUAAUAGCUGCAUUAUUUGACGUUAGCGACAGAAGAAGCACCGGCUAACUCCGUGCCAGCAGCCGCGGUAAUACGGAGGGUGCGAGCGUUAAUCGGAAUUACUGGGCGUAAAGCGCAUGCAGGUGGUUUGUUAAGUCAGAUGUGAAAGCCCGGGGCUCAACCUCGGAAUAGCAUUUGAAACUGGCAGACUAGAGUACUGUAGAGGGGGGUAGAAUUUCAGGUGUAGCGGUGAAAUGCGUAGAGAUCUGAAGGAAUACCGGUGGCGAAGGCGGCCCCCUGGACAGAUACUGACACUCAGAUGCGAAAGCGUGGGGAGCAAACAGGAUUAGAUACCCUGGUAGUCCACGCCGUAAACGAUGUCUACUUGGAGGUUGUGGCCUUGAGCCGUGGCUUUCGGAGCUAACGCGUUAAGUAGACCGCCUGGGGAGUACGGUCGCAAGAUUAAAACUCAAAUGAAUUGACGGGGGCCCGCACAAGCGGUGGAGCAUGUGGUUUAAUUCGAUGCAACGCGAAGAACCUUACCUACUCUUGACAUCCAGAGAACUUUCCAGAGAUGGAUUGGUGCCUUCGGGAACUCUGAGACAGGUGCUGCAUGGCUGUCGUCAGCUCGUGUUGUGAAAUGUUGGGUUAAGUCCCGCAACGAGCGCAACCCUUAUCCUUGUUUGCCAGCGAGUAAUGUCGGGAACUCCAGGGAGACUGCCGGUGAUAAACNNCGGAGGAAGGUGGGGACGACGUCAAGUCAUCAUGGCCCUUACGAGUAGGGCUACACACGUGCUACAAUGGCGCAUACAGAGGGCGGCCAACUUGCGAAAGUGAGCGAAUCCCAAAAAGUGCGUCGUAGUCCGGAUUGGAGUCUGCAACUCGACUCCAUGAAGUCGGAAUCGCUAGUAAUCGUGGAUCAGAAUGCCACGGUGAAUACGUUCCCGGGCCUUGUACACACCGCCCGUCACACCAUGGGAGUGGGCUGCAAAAGAAGUAGGUAGUUAA